This 484-nucleotide ribosomal RNA is filed under the name uncultured bacterium. Its description in RNAcentral is "partial 16S ribosomal RNA". It matches the Rfam family "Bacterial small subunit ribosomal RNA", at positions 30 to 507 of the family's 1533-position model. The record is from RNAcentral.
AUUGAACGCUGGCGGAAUGCUUUACUCAUGCAAGUCGAACGGCAGCACGGGGGCAACCCUGGUGGCGAGUGGCGAACGGGUGAGUAAUACAUCGGAACGUGCCCGGUCGUGGGGGAUAACGUAGCGAAAGUUACGCUAAUACCGCAUACGAUCUGAGGAUGAAAGCGGGGGACCUUCGGGCCUCGCGCGAUCGGAGCGGCCGAUGUCAGAUUAGGUAGUUGGUGGGGUAAGGGCCUACCAAGCCGACGAUCUGUAGCUGGUCUGAGAGGACGACCAGCCACACUGGGACUGAGACACGGCCCAGACUCCUACGGGAGGCAGCAGUGGGGAAUUUUGGACAAUGGGCGCAAGCCUGAUCCAGCCAUUCCGCGUGCAGGACGAAGGCCUUCGGGUUGUAAACUGCUUUUGUAUGGAACGAAAAGGCUCUGGCUAAUACCUGGGGCUCAUGACGGUACCGUAAGAAUAAGCACCGGCUAACUACGUG